ACCUCAUCAGCCGCAUGUUUCUUCUUCCUCAAUCUCACAGCGCCAUUUUCACUCUUCACUCUCUUUAUCCUCUUCUUCAAACCCUUACCGAAGGGCAACAAACAUAUGGUCGAAACCCUCACAACUGAGAGCUUUCAAGGCGCUUCAAUCUCAACAAACAACACCGCCUGGGCUCCGAUAAAGAUUUGUCAAUGGCAACGAGAAUGGCUCAACAAUUGCUUGACUUUAGUUGGUAUGCAGCGACUAUUGGCUUGAGCUGGUGUAGGUUGUGUUGGGCUCCAGCUAUAGUUGUAAUUGACUUGUAUACGGCUUGAGCUUCAGGCCUACAUAAAAUGUAAUUUGUAUAAAUAAUAAUUAUAAUAAUAUAUAAUUAAUAUUUUU
This is a long non-coding RNA of Hibiscus syriacus, 381 nucleotides long. RefSeq lists it as uncharacterized. NCBI's taxonomy places the organism in Eukaryota, Viridiplantae, Streptophyta, Magnoliopsida, Malvales, Malvaceae. The transcript is spliced from 2 exons. The record is from RefSeq and is a predicted model, not a curated record.